AUUGGUUGAAAAAUUAUCCAUGGCUUUGUGGCUCUGGGUAAGAUUUAGCAACUGGAGCCUGUGGGGCCUCAGUUAACCACCCACUCUCGCUUGUGGGGUGAUGAAUCCCAGGCCCAGACUUAC
Molecule: small nucleolar RNA, 123 nt
Organism: Suncus etruscus (white-toothed pygmy shrew)
Lineage: Eukaryota; Metazoa; Chordata; Mammalia; Eulipotyphla; Soricidae
Product: small nucleolar RNA ACA64
Exons: 1
Source: RefSeq, a predicted model, not a curated record